AUUGAACGCUGGCGGCAGGCCUAACACAUGCAAGUCGAGCGAGCGGCGGACGGGUGAGUAAUGUAUGGGGACUGCCCGAUAGAGGGGGAUAACUACUGGAAACGGUGGCUAAUACCGCAUACUAUCGGAUAACCCAUAUGGGAUUAGCUAGUAGGGGGGGUAAAGGCUCACCUAGGCGACGAUCUCUAGCUGGUCUGAGAGGAGGAUCAGCCACACUGGGACGGAGCCACGGCCCUGACUCCUACGGAGGCAGCAGUGGGGAAUAUGGCACAAUGGGCGCAAGCCUGAUGCAGCCAUGCCGCGUGUAUGAAUAAGGCCUUAGGGUUGUAAAGUACUUUCAGCUGGUAGGCGUUACCCGCAGAAGAAGCACCGGCUAACUCCGUGCCAGCCGCCGCGGUAAUUC
This 403-nucleotide ribosomal RNA is filed under the name uncultured bacterium. RNAcentral's name for it is "partial 16S ribosomal RNA". It matches the Rfam family "Bacterial small subunit ribosomal RNA", at positions 30 to 526 of the family's 1533-position model. The record is from RNAcentral.